RNAcentral lists this ribosomal RNA (492 nucleotides) under uncultured Haloquadratum sp. Its description in RNAcentral is "SSU rRNA". It matches the Rfam family "Archaeal small subunit ribosomal RNA", at positions 332 to 824 of the family's 1478-position model. The record is from RNAcentral. Lineage: Archaea; Methanobacteriati; Methanobacteriota; Halobacteria; Halobacteriales; Haloferacaceae.
GCAGCAGGCGCGAAACCUUUACACUGCACGCACGUGCGAUAAGGGGACUCCGAGUGCGAGGGCAUAUCGUCCUCGCUUUCGUGUACCGUAGGGUGGUACACCAACAAGGGCUGGGCAAGACCGGUGCCAGCCGCCGCGGUAAUACCGGCAGCCCGAGUGAUGACCGAUCUUAUUGGGCCUAAAGCGUCCGUAGCUGGCUGCGCAAGUCCGUCGGGAAAUCCACUCGCCCAACGAGUGGGCGUCCGACGGAAACUGCACAGCUUGGGACCGGAAGGCUCGAAGGGUACGUGCGGGGUAGGAGUGAAAUCCCAUAAUCCCGCACGGACCACCGAUGGCGAAAGCACUUCGAGAAAACGGAUCCGACAGUGAGGGACGAAAGCCAGGGUCUCCAACCGGAUUAGAUACCCGGGUAGUCCUGGCCGUAAACAAUGUUCGCUAGGUAUGACACAGACUACGUGUCUCUGUUGUGCCGUAGGAAGCCGAGAAGCGAAC